RNAcentral lists this ribosomal RNA (253 nucleotides) under uncultured bacterium. RNAcentral describes it as "partial 16S ribosomal RNA". It matches the Rfam family "Bacterial small subunit ribosomal RNA", at positions 524 to 776 of the family's 1533-position model. The record is from RNAcentral.
UACAGAGGUCUCAACCGUUGUUCGGAUUCAUUGGGCGUAAAGGGUGCGUAGGCGGUCGGGUAAGUCGGAUGUGAAAUCCCAGGGCUCAACCCUGGAACUGCAUUCGAUACUGCCUGGCUAGGGUACUGGAGGGGAGAACGGAAUUCCUGGUGUAGCGGUGAAAUGCGCAGAUAUCAGGAGGAACACCGGUGGCGAAGGCGGUUCUCUGGGCAUGGUCUGACGCUGAGGAGCGAAAGUGUGGGGAGCGAACAGG